This is a non-coding RNA of Podarcis lilfordi (Lilford's wall lizard), 75 nucleotides long. Lineage: Eukaryota; Metazoa; Chordata; Lepidosauria; Squamata; Lacertidae. The record is from the annotation of a GenBank genome assembly.
UGGCAUAGCUUCGUUGGCAGAGCACGAGACUCUUAAUCUCAGGGCUGUGGGUUCGAGCCCCACAUUGGGGAAAAG